RNAcentral lists this long non-coding RNA (564 nucleotides) under Homo sapiens (human). RNAcentral's name for it is "non-protein coding lnc-LINC00672-4:4". Lineage: Eukaryota; Metazoa; Chordata; Mammalia; Primates; Hominidae. The record is from RNAcentral.
GGCUCCGUUCCUUCUGGGCCAAAGCUGAAGAAGCGGCUGCUGCACCAGAGAAGUGCAUCUGGAUGAAGGUGGAAGCACACGCGGGCCCGCAGAACCGCCUAAGAUAUCUUCAGGUGUGGGCUUGGAACUGGUAGGCUUUCAUUUCUGCUUCAUUCCAUGGCCAAAGCAAGCCACAUGGGCAAGUCUGAAGCCGGGGCAAGAAAGUAUCCUCCACCCACAACGAAACCAUGGCAAGCGGGUAGAAUGGAGGUUGCACUAUUCGGGCCGGCCACUCUCCUACUGGCUGACAGGAUGCUGCCCGAGAUGAAACAGGGUGUGUGUGCACCACGGAGUCAGUCCAAGACUCCUGUUCUCACUCAGGGAUUCUUCAUUUCUUCUUCCUAUUGCCUCCACUUCAUGUUAUUUUCUUCCCUUCCCAUUUACAAGUAAAACUGACCAGAGCCCCAGGAAUAAAUGGUUUUCUUGGCUUCCUCCUUGCUCCCAUCUGGACCCAGUCCCCUGGUUCCUGUUGGUCAUUUGCAAACCAAGAGGACCACAAUAAACAAAUCUCUAUUUUUUUUUUAA